CGGAGAGCAGCGGAAACUUAUGAAUCUCCGUCAGAUACCGAGAAAGACCGCCCUCCGAUCGGAUGGCGGGAAGCGCUGCGGCAAAUGACAUGGUUAGCCCUCCUCAAGCCUGCACGCCCCUGACGCGGGCUUGAUCGAAGCACGAUCAGGCUUGGGACGUGGUAGGCAGUGGUCAAUGCUUGAGAUGAGCCGGGCUAGUCGCCAGGCACUAAAGCGCUCAUGUUCCAUAUCCAAUUCCUCCUUCGAGCAAAAUGGGCAGAAACCGCCGGC
RNAcentral lists this unclassified non-coding RNA (270 nucleotides) under Hevea brasiliensis (rubber tree). The record is from RNAcentral. Lineage: Eukaryota; Viridiplantae; Streptophyta; Magnoliopsida; Malpighiales; Euphorbiaceae.